GACGAACGCUGGCGGCGUGCUUAACACAUGCAAGUCGAACGGAAAGGCCCUGCUUUUGUGGGGUGCUCGAGUGGCGAACGGGUGAGUAACACGGGAGUAACCUGCCCUUGACUUUGGGAUAACUUCAGGAAACUGGGGCUAAUACCGGAUAGGAGCUCCUGCUGCAUGGUGGGGGUUGGAAAGUUUCGGCGGUUGGGGAUGGACUCGCGGCUUAUCAGCUUGUUGGUGGGGUAGUGGCUUACCAAGGCUUUGACGGGUAGCCGGCCUGAGAGGGUGACCGGCCACAUUGGGACUGAGAUACGGCCCAGACUCCUACGGGAGGCAGCAGUGGGGAAUAUUGCACAAUGGGCGGAAGCCUGAUGCAGCAACGCCGCGUGCGGGAUGACGGCCUUCGGGUUGUAAACCGCUUUCGCCUGUGACGAAGCGUGAGUGACGGUAAUGUGUAAAGAAGCACCGGCUAACUACGUG
This 468-nucleotide ribosomal RNA is filed under the name uncultured bacterium. Its description in RNAcentral is "partial 16S ribosomal RNA". It matches the Rfam family "Bacterial small subunit ribosomal RNA", at positions 28 to 507 of the family's 1533-position model. The record is from RNAcentral.